This 561-nucleotide ribosomal RNA is filed under the name uncultured Bifidobacterium sp. RNAcentral describes it as "bacterial SSU rRNA". It matches the Rfam family "Bacterial small subunit ribosomal RNA", at positions 146 to 711 of the family's 1533-position model. The record is from RNAcentral. Lineage: Bacteria; Bacillati; Actinomycetota; Actinomycetes; Bifidobacteriales; Bifidobacteriaceae.
UCUCCUGAAACGGGUGGUAAUGCCGGAUGUUCCACAUGAGCGCAUGCGAGUGUGGGAAAGGCUUUUGCGGCAUGGGAUGGGGUCGCGUCCUAUCAGCUUGUUGGUGGGGUAACGGCCUACCAAGGCGUUGACGGGUAGCCGGCUGAGAGGGCGACCGGCCACAUUGGGACUGAGAUACGGCCCAGACUCCUACGGGAGGCAGCAGUGGGGAAUAUUGCACAAUGGGCGCAAGCCUGAUGCAGCGACGCCGCGUGCGGGAUGGAGGCCUUCGGGUUGUAAACCGCUUUUGUUCAAGGGCAAGGCACGGUUUCGGCCGUGUUGAGUGGAUUGUUCGAAUAAGCACCGGCUAACUACGUGCCAGCAGCCGCGGUAAUACGUAGGGUGCAAGCGUUAUCCGGAUUUAUUGGGCGUAAAGGGCUCGUAGGCGGUUCGUCGCGUCCGGUGUGAAAGUCCAUCGCUUAACGGUGGAUCCGCGUCGGGUACGGGCGGGCUGGAGUGCGGUAGGGGAGACUGGAAUUCCCGGUGUAACGGUGGAAUGUGUAGAUAUCGGGAAGAACACCA